Molecule: unclassified non-coding RNA, 678 nt
Filed under: Viscum bancroftii
Lineage: Eukaryota; Viridiplantae; Streptophyta; Magnoliopsida; Santalales; Viscaceae
Description: sequence contains ITS1, 5.8S rRNA gene, ITS2
Rfam family: 5.8S ribosomal RNA (bases 280-438)
Source: RNAcentral
UGAACCUGCGGAAGGAUCAUUGUUGAAAGCCAGUGGAAUGUCGGUGGACAUGUGGACUUGUCGCAACAUGUGCGGGGGCGCGCAUGGGGGAGCAUCCCUGCCAGUCGCUCGCGGUUGAUGGGGAUGCAUCGGGAAGCCCAUGCGAACCCCAAUGCAACACUUAAAUCAGCACGGAACGUGCAAAGGAAGCUCCAGGAGAAAACCUCACACCCCCCCCCCCCCACCAUAACCACCUUGCAAGGCCGGCGUGGGAGGUGGGUUGUGCGAACGUGAGAUAAUGACUCCCGACAAUGGAUAUCUCGGCUCCCGUAUCGAUGAAGAAUGCAGCGAAAUGCGAUACAUGGUGUGAAUUGCAGAAUCUCGUGAAUCAUUGAGUUUUUGAACGCAAGUUGCGCCCGAAGCUGUUUUUUGGUCGAGGGCACACCUGCCUGGGCGCCAUGCAUGGAGUUGUCCCAGGGGGCCUCGUUCUGCGCGAGACCAACUUAUUUGGUCGAUUUUCGGGGGACUACUGGGGUGGAUGCUGGCCUUCCGUUCCACGUUGUGCGGUUGGUUUAAAUUUGGGGUCCCGAUCGACAUGUGUCGUGGUGAGUUGUGGAAAACAACGUCUGUCCCGUGUUGGUUGGCGAGAACCCCCAUAGGGUCCCUGGGCCUCGUUGAUGGAGUGCGCAUCCAGUCCCC